This 457-nucleotide ribosomal RNA is filed under the name uncultured bacterium. RNAcentral's name for it is "bacterial SSU rRNA". It matches the Rfam family "Bacterial small subunit ribosomal RNA", at positions 187 to 644 of the family's 1533-position model. The record is from RNAcentral.
CGCAUGAUAUUUUUAUUAAAGAAUUUCGGUUAUCGAUGGGGAUGCGUUCCAUUAGUUUGUUGGCGGGGUAACGGCCCACCAAGACAACGAUGGAUAGGGGUUCUGAGAGGAAGGUCCCCCACAUUGGAACUGAGACACGGUCCAAACUCCUACGGGAGGCAGCAGUGAGGAAUAUUGGUCAAUGGGCGAGAGCCUGAACCAGCCAAGUAGCGUGAAGGAUGAAGGCUCUAUGGGUCGUAAACUUCUUUUAUAUGGGAAUAAAGUUUUCCACGUGUGGAAUUUUGUAUGUACCAUAUGAAUAAGGAUCGGCUAACUCCGUGCCAGCAGCCGCGGUAAUACGGAGGAUCCGAGCGUUAUCCGGAUUUAUUGGGUUUAAAGGGAGCGUAGGUGGAUUGUUAAGUCAGUUGUGAAAGUUUGCGGCUCAACCGUAAAAUUGCAGUUGAAACUGGCAGUCUUG